RNAcentral lists this ribosomal RNA (459 nucleotides) under uncultured bacterium. RNAcentral describes it as "bacterial SSU rRNA". It matches the Rfam family "Bacterial small subunit ribosomal RNA", at positions 29 to 524 of the family's 1533-position model. The record is from RNAcentral.
AACGAACGCUGGCGGCAUGCCUAACACAUGCAAGUCGAACGGGAUCCAGGCUUCGGCCUGGUGAGAGUGGCGGACGGGUGAGUAACGCGUGGGAACCUGCCCAAUGGUCUGGGAUAACCGCGGGAAACUGCGGCUAAUACCGGAUAAGCCCGAGAGGGGAAAGAUUUAUCGCCGAUGGAGGGGCCCGCGUCCGAUUAGGUAGUUGGUGGGGUAAUGGCCUACCAAGCCUACGAUCGGUAGCUGGCUGAGAGGAUGAUCAGCCACACUGGGACUGAGAUACGGCCCAGACUCCUACGGGAGGCAGCAGUGGGGAAUAUUGGACAAUGGGGGCAACCCUGAUCCAGCAAUGCCGCGUGAGUGAUGAAGGCCUUAGGGUUGUAAAGCUCUUUUGCCAGGGAAGAUGAUGACUGUACCUGGAGAAUAAGCCCCGGCUAACUUCGUGCCAGCCGCCGCGGUAAU